GCCGACCCCACCGCUAUCGGAUAGGACUAAGACAUGCUAGUCGUGCGCUUCCUAGCCAAUUUGGAAGCGCGGCACACAGCUCAGUAACACGUGGCUAACCUGCCCUUGGGAUAGGAACACCCCCGGGAAACUGGGGCUAAUUCCCAAUAGGCGAAGAACUCUGGAAUGAGUCUCCACCAGAAAGGGCAUCUGCGCUAUGCUCGCAGGUGUCGCCCAAGGAUGGGGCCGCGACCGAUCAGGUUGUUGGUGAGGUAAUGGCUCACCAAGCCUUUUACCGGUGCGGGCCGUGGGAGCGGGAGCCCGGAGAUGGGCACUGAGACAAGGGCCCAGGCCCUACGGGGCGCAGCAGUCGCGAAAACUUUGCAAUAAGCGAAAGCUUGACAGGGCUAUCCCGAGUGCCAUCCGCUGAGGAAGGCUUUUACCCAGUCUAGAACGCUGGGGGAAUAAGGAGAGGGCAAGUCUGGUGUCAGCCGCCGCGGUAAUACCAGCUCUCCGAGUGGUGUGGAUGUUUAUUGGGCCUAAAGCAUCCGUAGCUGGCUAGGUUAGUCCCCUGUUAAAUCCACCGAAUUAAUCGUUGGACUGCGGGGGAUACUGCUUGGCUAGGGGACGAGAGAGGCAGACGGUAUUUCCGGGGUAGGGGUGAAAUCCUAUAAUCCCGGGAGGACCACCAGUGGCGAAGGCUGUCUGCUAGAACGCGCCCGACGGUGAGGGAUGAAAGCUGGGGGAGCGAACCGGAUUAGAUACCCGGGUAGUCCCAGCUGUAAACGAUGCAGGCUAGGUGUUUGGACGGCCACGUGCCGUUCUAGUGCCGCAGGGAAGCUGUUAAGCCUGCCGCCUGGGGAGUACGAUCGCAAGAUUGAAACUUAAAGGAAUUGGCGGGGGAGC
RNAcentral lists this ribosomal RNA (885 nucleotides) under uncultured archaeon. RNAcentral describes it as "bacterial SSU rRNA". It matches the Rfam family "Archaeal small subunit ribosomal RNA", at positions 17 to 877 of the family's 1478-position model. The record is from RNAcentral.